GAAGGCUGAGGCUGGGCUGUUAAGGAUGGAGCCAGGGGAUAAUGAAUACAAUACAGGUGCUGGGGUUUAGCUCGGGUUAUGAUGAGGUGUCAGAAAAGCACAUUACCAUGGCAGGGGGUUCUCUCCCCUUCUUUCUCUCUGGAACACACAGGCACACACAGAUACACACAGAUAUACGCACAGACAUGCCGGAACGUAGACACACACACACACACACACACACACACACACACACACACACACACACACACACACACACGCACACAGAUAGACGCAGACAUGCAUGAACGAAGGCGUACACACACACACACAGCCAAGCAUGUUCUCUUUCACACACACACUCUCUCUCUUCUCACUCUCUCAGCAAAAUAAUGUUGAAGUAAUACGGAGCAGUGCAUUGCAGAGGUGCAUGAUUUGUAAUACAUUUAGACAGUCAUUUUGUCAAUUGGAAUUGGUUGUGAUUCAUCAAUUCUGUGAAAUAUUACAGUAUGUCAUUUUGCCUUCAUGUACAAUUAAGAAUUUUCUCUUUAAAACGAGGACUAUAAUAUCUUAAUAUGUCCCAGCUACUUGCAUUUCUGGCAAUCAAUGUAGCAAAAGUAGCUCAUCCAUCACUACGUUUCAGACGAUACAGGAUAGCUAUGGUGUGGUGCAUGUUAUGAUGGCUGCAUUACUAGCCAGCAUCCUCUUAGCUUGUCUUUGUUGUGUUGAGGAUGGGGUUGUUUAACAUGAUGUUUCUGUCUUUGUUGUGUUGAGGAUGGGGUUGUUUAACAUGAUGUAUCUGUCUUUGUUGUGUUGAGGAUGGGGUUGUUUAACAAGCUGUUUCUGUCUUUAUUGUGUUGAGGAUGGGGUGGUUUAACAUGCUGUUUCUGUCUCUGUUGUGUUGAGGAUGGGGUUGUUUAACAUGAUGUAUCUCUCUCUGUUGUGUUGAGGAUGGGGUUGUUUAACAUGAUGUUUCUGUCUUUGUUGUGUUGAGGAUGGGGUUGUUUAACAUGAUGUUUCUGUCUUUGUUGUGUUGAGGAUGAGGUUGUUUAACAUGAUGUUUCUGUCUUUGUUGUGUUGAGGAUGUUUUUUUUAACAUGAUGUUUCUGUCUUUGUUGUGGUGAGGAUGGGGUUGUUUAACAAGCUGUUUCUGUCUUUGUUGUGUUGAGGACGGAGGUUGUUUAACAUGAUGUUUCUGUCUUUGUUGGUUUGAGGAUGGGGGUUGUUUAACAUGAUGUUUCUGUCUUUGUUGUGUUGAGCAUGGGGUUGUUUAACAUGAUGUUUCUGUCUUUGUUGUGUUGAGGAUGGAGGUUGUUUAACAUGAUGUUUCUGUCUUUGUUGUGUUGAGGAUGGGGUUGUUUAACAUGAUGUUUCUGUCUUUGUUGUGUUGAGGAUGGGGUUGUUUAACAUGAUGUUUCUGUCUUUGUUGUGUUGAGGAUGGAGGUUGUUUAACAUGCUUUUUCUGUCUUUGUUGUGUUGAGGAUGGGGUUGUUUAACAUGAUGUAUCUGUCUUUGUUGUGUUGAGGAUGGGGUUGUUUAACAUGAUGUGUCUGUCUUUGUUGUGUUGAGGAUGGGGUUGUUUAACAUGAUGUUUCUGUCUUUGUUGUGUUGAGGAUGGGGUUUAUUAACAUGAUGUUUCUGUCUCUGUUGUGUUGAGGAUGGGGUUGUUUAACAAGCUGUUUCUGUCUUUAUUGUGUUGAGGAUGGGGUUGUUUAACAAGCUGUUUCUGUCUUUGUUGUGUUGAGGAUGGAGGUUGUUUAACAUGAUGUUUCUGUCUUUGUUGUGUUGAGGAUGGGGGUUGUUUAACAAGCUGUUUCUGUCUUUGUUGUGUUGAGGAUGGGGUUGUUUAACAUGAUGUUUCUGUCUUUGUUGUGUUGAGGAUGGGGGUUGUUUAACAUGAUGUUUCUGUCUUUGUUGUGUUGAGGAUGGGGUUGUUUUACAUGAUGUAUCUUUCUUUGUUGUGUUGAGGAUGGGGUUGUUUAACAUGAUGUUUCUGUCUUUGUUGUGUUGAGGUUGGGGUUGUUUAACAAGCUGUUUCUGUCUUUGUUGUGUUGAGGAUGGGGUUGUUUAACAUUAUGUUUCUGUCUUUGUUGUGUUGAGGAUGGAGGUUGUUUAACAAGCUGUUUCUGUUUUUGUUGUGUUGAGGAUGGAGGUUGUUUAACAUGCUGUUUCUGUCUUUGUUGGUUUGAGGAUGGGGGUUGUUUAACAUGAUGUUUCUGUCUUUGUUGUGUUAAGGAUUGGGGUUGUUUAACAAGCUGUUUCUGUCUUUGUUGUGCUGAGGAUGGGGUUGUUUAACAUGAUGUAUCUGUCUUUGUUGUGUUGAGGAUGGGGUUGUUUAACAUGAUGUUUCUGUCUUUGUUGUGUUGAGCAUGGGGUUGUUUAACAUGAUGUUUCUGUCUUUGUUGUGGUGAGGAUGGGGUUGUUUAACAAGCUGUUUCUGUCUUUGUUGUGUUGAGGAUGGAGGUUGUUUAACAUGAUGUUUCUGUCUUUGUUGGUUUGAGGAUGGGGGUUGUUUAACAUGAUGUUUCUGUCUUUGUUGUGUUGAGGAUUGGGGUUGUUUAACAAGCUGUUUCUGUCUUUGUUGUGUUGAGGAUGGGGUUGUUUAACAUGAUGUAUCUGUCUUUGUUGUGUUGAGGAUGGGGUUGUUUAACAUGAUGUUUCUGUCUUUGUUGUGUUGAGGAUGGGGUUGUUUAACAUGAUGUUUCUGUCUUUGUUGUGUUGAGGUUGUUUAACAUGAUGUUUCUGUCUUUGUUGUGUUGAGCAUGGGGUUGUUUAACAUGAUGUUUCUGUCUUUGUUGUGUUGAGGAUGGAGGUUGUUUAACAUGAUGUUUCUGUCUUUGUUGUGUUGAGGAUGGGGGUUGUUUAACAUGAUGUUUCUGUCUUUGUUGUGUUGAGGAUGGGGUUGUUUAACAUGAUGUUUCUGUCUUUGUUGUGUUGAGGAUGGAGGUUGUUUAACAUGCUUUUUCUGUCUUUGUUGUGUUGAGGAUGGGGUUGUUUAACAUGAUGUAUCUGUCUUUGUUGUGUUGAGGAUGGGGUUGUUUAACAUGAUGUGUCUGUCUUUGUUGUGUUGAGGAUGGGGUUGUUUAAGAUGAUGUAUCUGUCUUUGUUGUGUUGAGGAUGGGGUUGUUUAACAAGCUGUUUCUGUCUUUAUUGUGUUGAGGAUGGGGUUGUUUAACAAGCUGUUUCUGUCUUUAUUGUGUUGAGGAUGGGGUUGUUUAACAAGCUGUUUCUGUCUUUGUUGUGUUGAGGAUGGAGGUUGUUUAACAUGAUGUUUCUGUCUUUGUUGUGUUGAGGAUGGGGUUGUUUAACAUGAUGUUUCUGUCUUUGUUGUGUUGAGCAUGGGGUUGUUUAACAUGAUGUUUCUGUCUUUGUUGUGUUGAGCAUGGGGUUGUUUAACAUGAUGUUUCUGUCUUUGUUGUGUUGAGGAUGGGGUUGUUUAACAAGCUGUUUCUGUCUUUGUUGUGUUGAGGAUGGAGGUUGUUUAACAUGCUUUUUCUGUCUUUGUUGUGUUGAGGAUGGGGUUGUUUAACAUGAUGUAUCUGUCUUUGUUGUGUUGAGGAUGGGGUUGUUUAACAUGAUGUGUCUGUCUUUGUUGUGUUGAGGAUGGGGUUGUUUAACAUGAUGUUUCUGUCUUUGUUGUGUUGAGGAUGGAGGUUGUUUAACAUGAUUUUUCUGUCUUUGUUGUGUUGAGGAUGGGGUUGUUUAACAUGAUGUAUCUGUCUUUGUUGUGUUGAGGAUGGGGUUGUUUAACAUGAUGUGUCUGUCUUUGUUGUGUUGAGGAUGGGGUUGUUUAACAUGAUGUUUCUGUCUUUGUUGUGUUGAGGAUGGGGUUUAUUAACAUGAUGUUUCUGUCUUUGUUGUGUUGAGGAUGGGGUUGUUUAACAAGCUGUUUCUGUCUUUAUUGUGUUGAGGAUGGGGUUGUUUAACAUGAUGUUUCUGUCUUUGUUGUGUUGAGGAUGGGGUUGUUUAACAUUAUGUUUCUGUCUUUGUUGUGUUGAGGAUGGAGGUUGUUUAACAAGAUGUUUCUGUCUUUGUUGUGUUGAGGAUGGGUGUUGUUUAACAUGAUGUUUCUGUCUUUGUUGUGGUGAGGAUGGGGUUGUUUAAC
This 4084-nucleotide long non-coding RNA is filed under the name Salmo salar (Atlantic salmon). RNAcentral's name for it is "lncRNA (ENSSSAG00000083335.1)". The record is from RNAcentral. Lineage: Eukaryota; Metazoa; Chordata; Actinopteri; Salmoniformes; Salmonidae.